UAGUCCACGCCGUAAACGAUGUCAACUAGCCGUUGGACCCCUUGAGGGUUUUGUGGCACAGCUAACGCACUAAGUUGACCGCCUGGGGAGUACGGUCGCAAGAUUAAAACUCAAAUGAAUUGACGGGGGCCCGCACAAGCGGUGGAGCAUGUGGUUUAAUUCGAUGCAACGCGAAGAACCUUACCUGGCCUUGACAUCCAGAGAACUUUCCAGAGAUGGAUUGGUGCCUUCGGGAACUCUGAGACAGGUGCUGCAUGGCUGUCGUCAGCUCGUGUUGUGAAAUGUUGGGUUAAGUCCCGUAACGAGCGCAACCCUUGUCCUUAUUUGCCAGCACGUAAUGGUGGGAACUCUAAGGAGACUGCCGGUGACAAACCGGAGGAAGGUGGGGACGACGUCAAGUCAUCAUGGCCCUUACGGCCAGGGCUACACACGUGCUACAAUGGAACGUACAGAGGGCGGCGAAGCCGCGAGGUGGAGCAAAUCCCAGAAAACGUUUCGUAGUCCGGAUUGGAGUCUGCAACUCGA
This 525-nucleotide ribosomal RNA is filed under the name uncultured bacterium. RNAcentral describes it as "bacterial SSU rRNA". It matches the Rfam family "Bacterial small subunit ribosomal RNA", at positions 791 to 1315 of the family's 1533-position model. The record is from RNAcentral.